GGGCAAACUGCCUCCUUUUGGGGGGCUCUGGCUGACCCUUCCUCAAAGCCUGGCAAACGUUCAAAGAGAAAAUUUACUGUAUACCAGAGGGACAUCUGAUCAGCAAUGGAGGUUAAUGGCAUGAUGGUUCUAGUGAUUACUUCCCAGUUACAAGGAUGGUAAGAACGUGAUCCUUGGGGUUCCUGGGU
Molecule: long non-coding RNA, 188 nt
Organism: Suricata suricatta (meerkat)
Lineage: Eukaryota; Metazoa; Chordata; Mammalia; Carnivora; Herpestidae
Exons: 3
Source: RefSeq, a predicted model, not a curated record